This 26-nucleotide ribosomal RNA is filed under the name Vitellariopsis dispar. Its description in RNAcentral is "partial 26S ribosomal RNA". The record is from RNAcentral. Lineage: Eukaryota; Viridiplantae; Streptophyta; Magnoliopsida; Ericales; Sapotaceae. RNAcentral also lists the same sequence under 3 other names.
CCGCGACCCCAGGUCAGGCGGGAUUA